Molecule: long non-coding RNA, 4728 nt
Organism: Lynx canadensis (Canada lynx)
Lineage: Eukaryota; Metazoa; Chordata; Mammalia; Carnivora; Felidae
Exons: 2
Source: RefSeq, a predicted model, not a curated record
AGGGCGGGGUGGAGGGUGGCCUGGGCCACGGGCCACAGCUCGCGCCUCUGGGGGCCCCGGCCACACGGAAGCGGCCGUGGAAGAGGAAGCCGCCGGGACCCUGACAAGAAGCUGUGUCUCGUGGCCCAGGCUGGCACUCGCCCCUCCGGCCCUGCUCAGCCCUGGGGGAGCAGGAAGCCGUGUGGCUCCUCAAACCCGCUUCCUGUUAGAGCAUCUUUGCAACCACAGGGCCUGGGGUGGGGGAGGCAGCCGACAUUCACAUCCUCAACCCAGCGCUGGGACUUCGCUCAUUGGUCAAGGGGAGGUGAUGUCAGAGCCCCGGGGUGGGGUGGCGGCGCCUGGGGCGUGAGCAGGUGCCUGACACCCUCGGAGAUCAGAAUUCGGGGUUCCGAGGCGGAGACAGGGGGCCGGCCUGAGAGCGAGGUGGCACAGGGCCGUGCGGAGCCCCCGGGAGGAUGCCAGGCUGGGCCCCUGGCGGGCCUGUGACGAGUCCCAUUACCUCGCUGAGCCUGUUUCCACACAUGUGACAAGGAAGGGGAUGAACUAGGUGAUCUCUAAUCCUUCCAGCUCUUUCCACGGAACUCAUUGGGGGGCCAGCUUCUUUGUCUGGAAAGAGCGUGCACAGCAUUCUGCCUCCCAGGCCCAUUUUGGUGACGCUGGGGCACGACACAGGAUUGACAACAGGGCGCACAAGGGCGCCGGCUGUCCCAGAAGGACCCGGGGACUCUGGGAGACGGCAGAGGGCCUGGCGGGGACACGUCUUUCCCCUUUACCUCCCAGCCACAGACACGCUCUCUCCUGCCCUACUCGGGGCCGCAGGGAGGACGAUGCAGAGGGAGAAUCGAGUUGUUCAAGGCUUACACAGCUCAGGGGCAAGACAGGAACCAGGCAGAACAGCUUUUAUCUGUUUAUUUAAAAACAGAAUAUCAUUUUAUAUACAAAUAUGCACAUAUUUACACAAAAUGUACACACGAGGACCCCAGAUCUUUGGGCUCCACAUCCAAAGUCCUGAGCUGGCCAGGGAGCAGGGGGUGAAAUCCAGCUGUUUUCGGGCCAAGUGGGGUUUGGGUACAAAAUCUUGGCAUUCUGGCUGAGUGUGUUUCGGGUGGGCAAGGCAACGGUGGACCGUAUCUAACCCGAGCACCCCCCCCCAAAACUUCCAAAAGAGCCCCAAGCUAGUGACCCAGAGUUCCCUGGGGGAAAGGAGACAUUCUUGCCUCCAGCGGCAGCUUUGCCCCACCUGACCCCCCCCUCCCCUGGUCUGUAAUCACGACCCUUCCUCCCUUAUACCACCUGUGAACCAGGAGCCCUUGUCACCCAGUCCCCGCACCCCCCCCCCCAAGGGACCACAAACAACUGGGGACGCAACUAAGAAAAAAGACGCGGUAGGGAAGGGACCGGGGAGCCUCUAGGGCCAGGGACCCCACCCUGUCCUCCUGCAGCCCCUGACCGAGGGGCUCACACCGUUGACUCAGACUCCACAACUCCAGGCUCCCUCCCAAGAGGCUGCCUGAAUUAAAGUGUCUUAGCAGGAACACCUUUCAGAACCAUGGGCGUUGGCCCCCUGCUGGGGUCUGAGCACAGUCUCUCAGGAGGGGGGUGGCUGACCAGUGGCUGACUCCCAGGGUUGUUGGCUAAUCAUACUCCAAGCAGUCCAAGCAAUAACAAACAUCCAGAGGCAGCGCAAAUUUUCUUUCAAAGACAAUUGGAAAGAAAUUCAAACUUUUGUGUCUCGUAUUAAAGUAUUCGGAGCAGUAUUCCCUACAGAAACUCCCCCAACAGGUCUAUUUAUAGAAAAUAGGCAGGUGCAGCAGGGCCCAGAGGCCACCAGAGGCCACCAGAGGGCCAGGGGCUUCUUCCUGAACAGGGUUAGCCUGGCAGGCCCCUGAGCUGGCCGUUCACACUUGCCCCCGCUGGCUUUCAAGUGGAGGGAGCCCAGCUCCCCAACUCAGAGGAGGCCAGAAUCCAGCUCCGGCCCGUGCACCUGGGUCUGGCCCACCGUCUCCACCUCUCGCCUCCAACCUCUGCGUCAUUAAUACUGCUCUGGGGUCCGAGGAGAUAACCUGUGCUUACGGGUAGAGGUCACGCAGCCACACGACGCGCCAGCGAACCCACCGCAGUUCACUUGGACGCUGACAUGAAGCACGGGCACAUCACCCCCGCACACGCACAAGGGUCCCGUUCUCUUGGACGAAAUGGUUCAUGGCCUGUUUGAUGCCUUCGUCCCGAUCUUCCUCCUCCUCUGCCCGCCCGGAGCCUGGAGACAGCAGUUCAGUCUGGGUUUCAAUCUCCCUCACCGUGGUCAACGUCGAGUAACUACGGCCCUCCGGCUCUUCGCUCUGGACGCCAAGGGCAGAGGGCAAGUCAGGACCCGAGGCAGGGGAGCCAGACGGGAGGGGGGCCGGGUGGGGAGCCGUAGGGUCAGAGGUCAGGGGCUCAGACGCGGGGGGGCCAGGAAUGAGCGUCAGGCGCGGAGGGGGGGGGGAGGAGAGCCACAGGUGAACACAGGCACAGCCGAGGUGCCGGCCCGAGACAGAGGGUCUGGUGAGGGGCGGCUGGCGCGCCACAUCCCCGAGCAGGAGAGGGGCCUGAGGACAGUGGUGGGGACGCCGGUGGGGCCGGGGGGCCUCACCAUCACAGAGCAGCUACUGUUGUCCUUGAGACUAUCGGGGUGGCCCUCGGCUCUCAGCCCUACACUCUCCUCCGGCUGUGGGGCCCGGACAUGGGGGAGGAGUCAGAACAGGGCUCAGCCUCCUCCGUCAUCACCUCUCCCCCCACCCGACCUGUCCACCUGUCUGCCUGUCUGCUCUCCCUGACGCCCGUCCUCGCCCCCCCACCCGGCCCCACCCUGGAGCCAGGGCUGACGGCGGCUUCCCCGAGCAGCCCCCGGGGCCAGUGCUAAAGGGGGGCCAGGUGGACCCAGAGUGGACCCCAAAACAGCCCUACCCCCAGCCCAGGCCGCGAGUCAGCGGCCAGACCUGGCCGAGGGCUGUCUGUCCUCCUGGUCUGCAGAAGGGCCCCCCGAGCCCCCCUUCUCCCCACCUCUCUUCCCCACCCUUCCCCUCCCCCAACCCGCUCCCAGAUGCACCCGACCUUGGCACACACCUGGCUCCUGGGGUCCGAGUGAUGGGAGUGCAGCCUCCGGAUGGAGUUCUCCCGGGUCAGGGUCAGCUCCUCCUCACUGGGAAAGACACGCCCUUGUUAGGAGCUGAGGGUACUGGUGGCUCCCAAGGUGGGCAGGCCGAGAGCCUAUGUGAGCCGGGGCUGGAGGGUGUGGGGGCUGUGCUGUCCCCCCCCCUCCCCCCCAGUGUGAGUGAGUGGCUGCAGAGGGAGCGUGAGCCCUGCUAGGGUGUGUGUGCUUGGGGAUACCCAGGCACGUGGAUCUGGGCCUCCCUCCCCACUGAGCUGUGGCCCCAGCGCCCCUGGCUCCCCGAAGGACCCUGCCCAGCUCCGGUCCAUGAGCUCCCCAGCCGUCAGCACCCCCGCCCGCCUCCCCUCUCUCCUGGGUGCCGGGGCCCCCACCUCCCGCUCCGCCCGGCCGGCUUUGCCCCCAGCUUAGCUCCGCCCCCCCGAGCGGCCACGACUCACUAUUUCUGGGUCAUCUGCUGAGCCUUGCGCCGAUGGUACCGGGACAUGAGCACCACCACCACCACCAGCAGGAGGAACAAGAGUGCGGCGAUCACGCCCACCACCACCACUGAGGCCGACACCAGGUUCACCUGCUUCCCAGGGGCCUCCUGCGGGUCUGCGGGAGACAGGCCUCGGUCGGGGGUGGCUGCCCACACCCCCGCCCUCCCCAACCCUGCCCCUGUGUCCUCCCAACACCCCCCCCCCCAAACCACCCCCUCAGCCUGACCCUCUGCAAAAUACACGCGGUCCAGGCCCCCCCCCCCCCGCCCCCAGCUCACCCUCUCCGUCACCGUUGCCCCUCCGGGCUCUCGGCCGGGCCCCCCCCGCCCCGUGUCUGCCCCGGUGCUCACCAAGGAUGUCCACAGUGACCCGGGAAUCCCUCGAAGAGAGCUCGUUGCUGACGUGGCACACGUAGAUGCCGCUGUGCUCGGGGGUCAGCGGAGGAAAGCCCAGAGUGUCCCCUUCCGCUCGCACCCCGCUGGGCAGAGGCCCGUCCAACCUGGACGACAGGGAGGCUGCGGCGGCCCGAGGCUGCCCCCACCCAACGUGCCCGGGCAGCUCUCCCCUCCCGCCCCCGUGACGUCACCCGAGCCGCUGGCUGUUCCCACGGUGCCCCUCCCUCCCCCGGGCAGGUCUGGGCAGAGGCCCCUGCUCCCUGCCGCCCAGGCUGACCCGGGCACCCCCCCACACACACACACCACACACGUCACCCGGCACUGGGUACCAGGUCCACACCGCAGGACACCCCGUCCCUCUCUGGGCUCAGACGGACUGGGAGAGUGUGACCGCACGCCCCAACACCCACGACAUUGCGUGGCAGGGGACCUGAACGGAGCCCGGGGCACGCACGAGGCCACACGCACGGUUCAUCCGUUCACGUGUGAGAAUGUGCCUGUCGGGGGCUCACACACGUGUGCACCUGACCCCUCCCCAACCCCCUGGACACCUGAGACCCGGGAAAAAGCCAAGGAACCGGCAGAGGCGGGCGGCUGGCACUUCUAAGGUGCUUACAAGGGUCUUACAAGAUCACAGCCGUGCCUUUUUGUCCUCUCCGCCUCAGGUACUCACGUAAACAUAUAAAACAUUAAUAUUUAAAUC